This is a long non-coding RNA of Ostrea edulis (European flat oyster), 606 nucleotides long. RefSeq lists it as uncharacterized. Lineage: Eukaryota; Metazoa; Mollusca; Bivalvia; Ostreida; Ostreidae. The transcript has 3 exons. The record is from RefSeq and is a predicted model, not a curated record.
CUCGUUGUUUACCAACACUUCGCAUAUUAAAUGUAUUUGUUUGGGAUGUAUGGGGGUACGUAUUUGUUUGUCAACGUUUGAUAAGCUACCAUUGGUCAAAUUCAACGGAAGACUUUGACAAGACGACGAUGUUGCAGUGUAACUUGCAGAUCUAUGCAGAAGGCCUGUCUAGGUUAGUACAGUAGUAGCCAUAGUGGAACAUGAAAAGAACGUAUUAGACUCGGUGAAACCUACCAAAUAGGUGAUGUGAUGGUGUACAUAUAUGACAUGCUUUGGUCAUGUUGGUCUGAAUGGUUUGCUAUUAAACUAUGGACAGGACAGUGGUAUCAUCUGUGAAUGACUGACUAUGCUGAUUAUGUCAAAGCUAUGGAAUAUUUCUACAUAAAUGAUCAUCAUACUCAUCAAAGACACAACAGAAUACGAUAUAUGCGACCAAAAAUGACCAAGACAAAAGAAAAAUGUUAUAUGGGGAUAUAGGAAGUGGAUCAUCCAUUUUCCUUGUCUUUCCCUCGAGGUCUUCAGACAGUGUCUCUAUACAUCAUUAACCAUGUUGAUUAGCUCUCAUGAUGUCAUGCCAUUACUGCCAGAUUACCUGUAAUACUGCCA